GCCGAGAUAGCUCAGUAGGUAGAGCAACGGACUGAAAAUCCGUGUGUCCCCAGUUCGAUUCUGGGUCUCGGCA
Molecule: transfer RNA, 73 nt
Filed under: Candidatus Wallbacteria bacterium HGW-Wallbacteria-1
Lineage: Bacteria; Candidatus Walliibacteriota
Description: tRNA-Phe
Rfam family: tRNA
About the family: Transfer RNA (tRNA) molecules are approximately 80 nucleotides in length. Their secondary structure includes four short double-helical elements and three loops (D, anti-codon, and T loops).
Source: RNAcentral